RNAcentral lists this unclassified non-coding RNA (860 nucleotides) under Penaeus chinensis. RNAcentral's name for it is "protein ARV 2-like, transcript variant X4". Lineage: Eukaryota; Metazoa; Arthropoda; Malacostraca; Decapoda; Penaeidae. The record is from RNAcentral.
CCUAUUGUCUCUAAGUCUUCUGAAAAGAUUUGUUUACUAGCCAAGAGAUGGUUUCCGGCAAGAAAAAAACAUUUGUGUGUGUCUCUUGUACAUCGCCUGCUAAGGCACUUGUCAAGAAAACCGAUGGAAAUUUUAUCAAACUUCUGGAAUGUCCAUCCUGUGGGGCAUUGGUAGACAGAUAUGUCGAAUGUGAGAGGAGCAUCAUAUUUAUGGACAUGAUACUACAAGAUAUUACAGUUUAUAGACAUAUCCUCUACAAUGCAGACAAUUUUGCUUCUCAGUUCUACAUAAAGCUGGCAGUGUCCCUAAUGCUGAGUGAAGGAUAUGUUCGGUGGAGUAACCUCGCCCAGAAUCUUGCUGCUGGAAAGGGAAUUAUGAACAAUGAGGUUUAUAUGUAUAUCAUGUGCUUCAUGGCAUUUGUGGAACUUGGGAUGUUUGGCAUGGUAAUUUUGGGAUACUCCUAUGUUAAGCAUUCUCACAAUCACUUCUCAGAAAGAAGCUACCAGUCUUCAAUGCUGUUCUCCUUGGUCAGUGUGGACGACUAGCAAACUUAGCAGCCAUUAUCUGGUACCCAGGGUUCAGCACAACAUUUCAAGUGUUAAUGCUUGUUUUUGUGUUUGUAUCAUCUGUGCAAAGCACUAGAGCUGCAUUACAUUUAGGGAAAAUAGAAAGUUUGCUCCUACUGACUGUGGCAUUUUCUAGCAGUAUGUUUUCAUGUCAUAAAUUACAGCCAAUUUUGCUUGACAGCUACCAUUCUUAUGUCCAUAGCCAUGUGUACACUAAACAACCUUUUGUACUAUGAAAGCUUGAUUAAUAAACAAUGUUAUACAAUUCUUGAAUUGAGAAAAGGUAACAUGCAA